Molecule: transfer RNA, 73 nt
Filed under: Deltaproteobacteria bacterium
Lineage: Bacteria; Pseudomonadati; Myxococcota; Myxococcia
Also listed under: 1 other name
Description: tRNA-Lys
Rfam family: tRNA
About the family: Transfer RNA (tRNA) molecules are approximately 80 nucleotides in length. Their secondary structure includes four short double-helical elements and three loops (D, anti-codon, and T loops). Further hydrogen bonds mediate the characteristic L-shaped molecular structure. tRNAs have two regions of fundamental functional importance: the anti-codon, which is responsible for specific mRNA codon recognition, and the 3' end, to which the tRNAs corresponding amino acid is attached (by aminoacyl-tRNA synthetases). tRNAs cope with the degeneracy of the genetic code in two manners: having more than one tRNA (with a specific anti-codon) for a particular amino acid; and 'wobble' base-pairing, i.e. permitting non-standard base-pairing at the 3rd anti-codon position.
Source: RNAcentral
GGGCCGUUAGCUCAGUUGGUAGAGCAGCUGACUCUUAAUCAGCGGGUCACAGGUUCGAUCCCUGUACGGCCCA